GCGAGCGGAACUAACAGAUUUACUUCGGUAAUGACGUUAGGAAAGCGAGCGGCGGAUGGGUGAGUAACACGUGGGGAACCUGCCCCAUAGUCUGGGAUACCACUUGGAAACAGGUGCUAAUACCGGAUAAGAAAGCAGAUCGCAUGAUCAGCUUUUAAAAGGCGGCGUAAGCUGUCGCUAUGGGAUGGCCCCGCGGUGCAUUAGCUAGUUGGUAAGGUAAAGGCUUACCAAGGCGAUGAUGCAUAGCCGAGUUGAGAGACUGAUCGGCCACAUUGGGACUGAGACACGGCCCAAACUCCUACGGGAGGCAGCAGUAGGGAAUCUUCCACAAUGGACGCAAGUCUGAUGGAGCAACGCCGCGUGAGUGAAGAAGGUUUUCGGAUCGUAAAGCUCUGUUGUUGGUGAAGAAGGAUAGAGGUAGUAACUGGCCUUUAUUUGACGGUAAUCAACCAGAAAGUCACGGCUAACUACGUGCCAGCAGCCGCGGUAAUACGUAGGUGGCAAGCGUUGUCCGGAUUUAUUGGGCGUAAAGCGAGCGCAGGCGGAAGAAUAAGUCUGAUGUGAAAGCCCUCGGCUUAACCGAGGAACUGCAUCGGAAACUGUUUUUCUUGAGUGCAGAAGAGGAGAGUGGAACUCCAUGUGUAGCGGUGGAAUGCGUAGAUAUAUGGAAGAACACCAGUGGCGAAGGCGGCUCUCUGGUCUGCAACUGACGCUGAGGCUCGAAAGCAUGGGUAGCGAACAGGAUUAGAUACCCUGGUAGUCCAUGCCGUAAACGAUGAGUGCUAAGUGUUGGGAGGUUUCCGCCUCUCAGUGCUGCA
Molecule: ribosomal RNA, 818 nt
Filed under: uncultured bacterium
Lineage: Bacteria
Description: bacterial SSU rRNA
Rfam family: Bacterial small subunit ribosomal RNA
Source: RNAcentral